CAUCCAAGAAGACAGUGCAGCCACCUCUGAGAGCCUGGAUGUGAUGGCGUCACAGAAGAGACCCUCCCAGAGGCACGGAUCCAAGUACCUGGCCACAGCAAGUACCAUGGACCAUGCCAGGCAUGGCUUCCUCCCAAGGCACAGAGACACGGGCAUCCUUGACUCCAUUGGGCGCUUCUUUGGCGGUGACAGGGGUGCGCCCAAGCGGGGCUCUGGCAAGGACUCACACCAUGCAGCAAGAACUGCUCACUACGGCUCCCUGCCCCAGAAGUCACACGGCCGGACCCAAGAUGAAAACCCCGUAGUCCACUUCUUCAAGAACAUUGUGACACCUCGCACACCACCCCCGUCGCAGGGAAAGGGGAGAGGACUGUCCCUGAGCAGAUUUAGCUGGAGCCGCAGGACUCUCUCCUUGUCUGGAGUUCCAGAGAGCCCCACUUUCUCUUUCUAAACUGUGUUGUGUGUUUCCUGCGUGAAGGGGGCCGAAGGCCAGAGACCAGGAUUUGGCUACGGAGGCAGAGCGUCCGACUAUAAAUCGGCUCACAAGGGAUUCAAGGGAGUCGAUGCCC
RNAcentral lists this small RNA (569 nucleotides) under Pongo abelii (Sumatran orangutan). Its description in RNAcentral is "processed transcript". Lineage: Eukaryota; Metazoa; Chordata; Mammalia; Primates; Hominidae. The record is from RNAcentral.